Molecule: long non-coding RNA, 511 nt
Organism: Amphibalanus amphitrite
Lineage: Eukaryota; Metazoa; Arthropoda; Thecostraca; Balanomorpha; Balanidae
Exons: 3
Source: RefSeq, a predicted model, not a curated record
GGUACCGUGCUAUUCCAGUCGUGCGCUGGUGCCGCGAGCGGAGGGUGGGGUGUGCUGGACCGCGCGACGCUGACUUUGCCGCCGUCGCCGCCGGUUUUGAGUGCACGAACCAUCACAUUCCAUCGGAGCUGGUCCGCCAACCAGACUCGGCGACAGUCAAGUGCCCGUCAUAGCACGAAUGGUCUGAAGGGGACUGUGAUCGCCCCUCACCCGACAGAGCCGCUGAGCUCCGCAGCUCACACAGCUCCACGACAGAGCAGUGACCAGCUCGUGAGCCAGCCGGAGCUGAGCUGCCCAAGCCUCGGCGGCUUCGGGCCCAGCCAUGAAGUGUUUCGGAGCCAAAAAUAACACCUAUCACUGCAAAAUAAUCCUACUGGACGAUCAGGAGCUCAUACAGGAGAUACAGGACACGACGCUCGGCCAGGAGCUGCUGGAUAAUGUGUUUCGUCACCUGAACCUGCUGGAGACGGCCUACUUCGGCCUGCGGUUCCUCCACUCCUCCAACCAGCCG